This 539-nucleotide long non-coding RNA is filed under the name Pongo abelii (Sumatran orangutan). RNAcentral's name for it is "lincRNA". Lineage: Eukaryota; Metazoa; Chordata; Mammalia; Primates; Hominidae. The record is from RNAcentral.
AGUGUGGACUGGAUGAGGGAGCCUCAUUGGAAUAAACUCAUAUAGGAAUGAUGAUACUGUGUUUACCUACUAAUGGGAAUGACCCUAUUGAAGAGGGAACAUCACGUAUGUCGGGGAGCGGAAAAGUCAAAGUCCUCGAAAAGGAAGCACUUUGGAGACCAAUGGCUGAAAAGUUUGCUUUCUGUGAGAAGUGUAAAUCAAAGUCAUAUUUCUGUUUGCAGCAGUAGAGGAAAGAGAGAUAAACCUGAUGGACACAAACAGGUAAAAUCUGUCCAAAAUGACUCUGGGGCUUGUUGAAAAAUAAACGCCUGUGAGAUCUGUUUCAUUCGAGGGCAAGGCAUGGUGGAUCACCUUUCCACAUCAGUGCCUGGGUCUGAUCUGUAGCAUCUUUAUACACUCGCCAGAUUAACUGCAGCCAUCUGAAGGAACCCUAUAACCAGGAGGCCGCUGUCCUCAGGGUUGAGCACCAUCUAUGGUCAUAUCAGGGAAACUGUAUAUUUCCCAGCCAGGAAUAAACAUUCCUGCUGUCAAGUCUCCCA